GUGUGUGUGUGGUUUAGAAGACUAUUUCAAGAUUGGUAGAGUUUCGUCACCAUGUGAUUUGUCAUUACCGGAGGGGAGAUUAAUCGGAUUUGUGAUGUAUAAAAUCCAAUAUUUUGUGAAUGAUGUUUACGUGAUGGAAAUAUGUGAGAUUCAAAGUUUUGCAUUGUAUUGCAUUCCUUUUCUUUAAUGAUACAUAUGAAAGCAAUAGUAUUUAAGAUGUGUUUUGUGCUGGAAAAACAUUAUUUUUGUCGUGAAGAUGAAGAUAAAGCAUCACUAUCCUCUGGCAUUUAUAAAGGAUAAGAAAUCAGCGUGCUCAUUGUAUAUCAUAGAAAGUCAGUUUUGACUUAGGACAGUCGCAAAAUUGCGGCGGGGUUAAACAUGUUUUUUUGAGAUCUCAACCAUCUCCUUUACCUCUAGCCAAUGUAGAAAAACAAACGCACAACAAUACGCACAGUAAAAUUCAAUUAAAAAAAGUCCGAGUUCGAUCUCUGGAUAGGAAACAAAAGAAACUAAACAAAAUGACAAUAAUACAUUAAUUAACAAAGGACAACUAGCAGUUACUGACAUGUCAGACCACAAUUAAACUGAUUAAAAGAUCAUUUAUCAUAUGAAUAUCAGGCACAAUCCCUCCUGUUAGGAGUUUAGUAUAAUACCUUCAUGAAAUAUAUGAGACGAACAUAACUCGUGUCGUGCCAAAAACUGGUUUUAAAAUAAAUGUGUUUUAUUCCGAUGCAAAGACCC
Molecule: long non-coding RNA, 741 nt
Filed under: Mytilus galloprovincialis (Mediterranean mussel)
Lineage: Eukaryota; Metazoa; Mollusca; Bivalvia; Mytilida; Mytilidae
Source: RNAcentral